RNAcentral lists this ribosomal RNA (242 nucleotides) under uncultured bacterium. Its description in RNAcentral is "partial 16S ribosomal RNA". It matches the Rfam family "Bacterial small subunit ribosomal RNA", at positions 1243 to 1500 of the family's 1533-position model. The record is from RNAcentral.
UGCGAAGCGAAGCAGCGAUGUGAAGCAAAUCGCACCAAAGCCGGUCCCAGUUCGGAUAAGAGGCUGAAACUCGCCUCUUUGAAGUCGGAAUCGCUAGUAAUCGCAGAUCAGCAUGUUGCGGUGAAUACGUUUUCUGGUCUUGUACACACCGCCCGUCAAACCAUGAGAGUCGCCAACACCCGAAGUCCGCUUUGCGGCCUAAGGUGGGGGAGAUGAUUGGGGUUAAGUCGUAACAAGGUAAC